RNAcentral lists this ribosomal RNA (497 nucleotides) under uncultured bacterium. Its description in RNAcentral is "partial 16S ribosomal RNA". It matches the Rfam family "Bacterial small subunit ribosomal RNA", at positions 28 to 507 of the family's 1533-position model. The record is from RNAcentral.
GAUGAACGCUGGCGGCGUGCCUAAUACAUGCAAGUCGAGCGAACAGAUAAGGAGCUUGCUCCUUUGAAGUUAGCGGCGGACGGGUGAGUAACACGUGGGUGACCUACCUAUAAGACUGGGAUAACUUCGGGAAACCGGAGCUAAUACCGGAUAACAUUUAGAACCGCAUGGUUCUAAAGUGAAAGAUGGUUUCGCUAUCACUUAUAGAUGGACCCGCGCCGUAUUAGCUAGUUGGUAAGGUAACGGCUUACCAAGGCGACGAUACGUAGCCGACCUGAGAGGGUGAUCGGCCACACUGGAACUGAGACACGGUCCAGACUCCUACGGGAGGCAGCAGUAGGGAAUCUUCCGCAAUGGGCGAAAGCCUGACGGAGCAACGCCGCGUGAGUGAUGAAGGGUUUCGGCUCGUAAAACUCUGUUAUUAGGGAAGAACAAAUGUGUAAGUAACUGUGCACAUCUUGACGGUACCUAAUCAGAAAGCCACGGCUAACUACGUG